This 324-nucleotide unclassified non-coding RNA is filed under the name soil metagenome. Its description in RNAcentral is "partial contains 5.8S ribosomal RNA, internal transcribed spacer 2, and large subunit ribosomal RNA". The stretch from base 1 to 120 matches the Rfam family "5.8S ribosomal RNA", at positions 35 to 154 of the family's 154-position model. The record is from RNAcentral.
GAUGAAGAACGUAGCGAAAUGCGAUAAGUAGUGUGAAUUGCAGAAUUCAGUGAAUCAUCGAAUCUUUGAGCGCACAUUGCGCCCCUUGGUAUUCCAUGGGGCAUGCCUGUUCGAGCGUCAUUUGUACCUUCAAGCUUUGCUUGGUGUUGGGUGUUUGUCCCUCGGGACUCGCCUUAAAGUCAUUGGCAGCCAGUGUUUUGGUUUUGAAGCGCAGCACAAGUCGCGAUUCAAGGCUAUCCGCCCGCUUCCACAAGCCUUUUUCACUUUUGACCUCGGAUCAGGUAGGGAUACCCGCUGAACUUAAGCAUAUCAAUAAGCGGAGGA